Molecule: long non-coding RNA, 3677 nt
Organism: Triticum aestivum (bread wheat)
Lineage: Eukaryota; Viridiplantae; Streptophyta; Magnoliopsida; Poales; Poaceae
Exons: 2
Source: RefSeq, a predicted model, not a curated record
GCCAGAAAACACGAGCGACCACGCCUCCCACCCCAUCUGGAUCCGCCGCCUCCACGCCGCCGGCUGGCGUCCUCCGCCACGCCAUCCACCGCCGUGCCGUCCUCCCCGCACCGCGGCCUGCCUCCUCUCCGCCGUGCCCUCCUCCUCGCGCCGUCCGAGUCCUCCGUGCGCGGUUCGCCGACGCAGAGGCCCAGGCCAGCCCGCUCCGGGCCCGCGCCGCCGACCGCGACGGGCUGCUCAGCACGCUCCUCGCCGCCACGGGCAACGACCGGGAGGAGGAGGAGGACGCGCGGGAGGCGGGGUAGCGUCAGAAUCAGCGCACGUCGGAUCCGGCAUGCUGCUCCUCUCCCUUCCCAAGUCGCCCUGGAUCUCGCGAUGCUGGAGGUGGCCGCCGUCGUUGCUAUGGAGGGCUCGCCACCCGCCUCCGGAGUCCCACGUCCCCGAGAUCAACGGGAUUGCCAAGCCGAGGUCAUCAUUUCUUGACGGGCUCCUCCAUCACUUCUGGUUUCCCACAGUGGCUAUGGGCUGCCUCUCCCUCUCGAUCCUGCGCUCCUCCUCCUCCGGUUCAGGUUUCAGGCCGUGGCUGAGGGUCGCCUCUCCAUAUCCAUCCUUCCAAUCUGGAGCACAGGUGGAGAGCCUGGCUGUGUGCGGCGGAGAUGGCGCCCCGCAUCUGCGCCCUAUAAGCCCGGACAGAGCUCCGCCGAGGCCAUGACCUCCGUAGGUAUCGAUCUAAAAAAGGCCGCCAACCCAAUGGAAUCUCUCCCUGUCUCUUUCUUCUGCAUCUUCCUCAUACUAUCCACUGGAAUCUUAGUUUUUGUAGUUAGUAGCAGAGACUCAAUUGCUGCAUUUUUUGCCUGUACAUCUUCAUAUAGGAUUCGAUAGCCAUGCCCUGGAGAGAGACAGCUCACAAAUUAGUCCAGUUAACAAGACGCAAUUGAACCGAAAAUCUUACGAGAUGGCUUGCAAAUCCAGGUAUCAAACAGAAUUUUGGUAAUAUAUAUUAUGUAUACGGUACUUGGAAGGGAUGCUUACCAGGUAAAUACCACUUAAAAUCUAGGUCCAGUAACUAUCCAGUUGCAGAUUCACUGCAAGUUUGUGCGACAGAUAUUCAUAUAUAUAGAUCAACUAGGAUUUAGGUUUAACUCUAUGGUACAAUUGAAAGACUAGGGAGAAGAGGGUGGAUUGUACUACCUGAUUGCUUGCUGUACAUCCGAAAGAGAUUCAGUUGCUCUGAAUAUUCUUAUUUGCCACAUGGUCGCCAGUGUGAAUAGCGCCUUUAGCGAUUUGUACAACAAACAGACCAAGCUCUACAUAAAAUGAUUUUGUUUUCAUGAGUGAAUCUUUUAAUGACGUCAUUACCAUCCAGCCAUCUUGCCUUUCCAACGAACAACAUACAAGCUUUGUUCUCUGAAGUUUAAGAAUAGUGCAACCAUCUUGCCUUCCAAAGAAUGACAUAUAUAAUUUUAACCUUAAUAGUGCAGCCAGCUAGAUGUAGUGCACUUAUCUCUAAGCGCAGCUCCUCUUUAAUCCAUAAACUUAUCCGUAACCAAAGGCUAGACGUAUAUUCAAUGUAAUUCUAUUCAUUGAGUUGAGUUUCUUACUUCGGUAUGGCCUGGGGUAUAGUAAGUUCCAUUUUCAAUGUUCCAGGGACCACUUCCAGUAAGUUUGCACUCGACAUCAGCAGUAAUGUCCACUACCUGUAUCAGCAUGGUUAUCGCAGUAGAUAAUCAGGGCAAAUAUCAUAAGCAAAUUACAACUUUAGAAUCUCUGAAUUCUAAUAGAUUUCUAAUAUCCUUCAAAAGAUGAUGUGUGAGCGCUCUUUAGAUAUUCCAGUAAGUUCCUUUCUACAGGUGUUCUUACAUCUCCUGAAUGGAUGAUUCUCUUUGCAUUUCGGCCGCUCGGCCCACUUCCAAUGAUCCACUACAUCAUCACUGUUUGGUAACUGGUUAGAUACUCUUCAAUCUCCUUAUAGAAAGGUCCACAAAUGCACAAUCAAUAGAUACAUAUAGAACUAUGUAAGUCUGAACAUACAUGUGGGUCAAAACAUGGUGCGCUCCACCAAGCUUCUCAAUCUUGUCCACCAGUUUCGGCGUAUACCUUGGACUGAAAUAUUAAGAGGUUAUCAGAACAACUACAGCGAAUAUAAUCACUCUUUUCAGACCAAAUAAGGAAUCAAUCUUAUGAUGGUUGAUACUUGAUGCAGCGGAGGAUCACAGGUGUACUGCCAGCAGUUUCAAUUUAACCGGGUGGUUGCCAUCAUCGUGAGACUACCAACUGGAGGAGCUGAAACGGCUCUUUAUUCCAGCCGUAUCCGAUGCCCCGAGCCGGAACUUUCAGGCCACCUACAGCACACGGUGCUCGCGGCGCGCCGUUGGCGCCGGCGUCGGCGGGGACACGGGAAGGUGCUCGUUGCCGCGCUCCCGGAACCCCUCAAGCAGCUCAUGCUCGUUCGGCCUUGCAGGAUGGCGUUGUAGCACUAUCGUUGGAUGUGAAUCGCAUCAAAAUCGGAAUUAGUCUGCGCGCUAAUGUGGCGUGUUUCCGCCUUUGCUACACUGUGAUUGACUGAUGGUUAGAUCGUUGAUGCUGCAGUCUGAGGUCUCGGGGGUGUGUCUUGUGCUUAAUUUUUGACGCCACGAGCUCCUGGUGAGUUUGCUCCCCUGAGUCAUUAUAGAGGGAGUGAGAUGGUCAGAAGGGAGAAGAACAAAAAACCUUGCUGCCGGAGAUGACAUCUCCACCAUUUUGUGUGUGUUGGAGUGAUUGAACCAUGGCAAUCAGAGCUGGCAUAUAUAUUCCAUUCUGUACACCAAGAGAUUAUGUUAUUUUCCUUUUACUGAAGCAAUUAUGAUUGAGUAGUACAUUGUUAUCAUUCUCAACAACUUCAUUCAUGACACCUUUGAUACUCAUGUAUGAGAAAGAACUUUCAGUGAUUGAGUUACUUUAUUUGACUUUGUGUUGUUCAGGAGGGGAGGCCGCAAGGCGGGAAAGCCAGCAGCGGAAUUCUUUUCGGGGAUGCGUGGAUCUGGUGAUGCUGGAGCAGGGGAACAGGAAACAUCACAUCCGCAACGGCGUUUCAAAUAGCCAAUUUACCUUUCUCCCUAAAGGUUUCUUGCUCUGCUGUCAGUAUCACUGGUCUUGGGGUUUAGAUUUUGUCAAUAUCAAAAUCUGGGUACUUACCAGCAAACGAGUUGUUGAUCUAUUUACUUAGUCAAGUUCAUUUCUGCUAUGUUCUUCAGUCAAGCUUCAGCUUCUAGCCUUGAUUAAAUGGCAAUGAUAUUCUCCAAAACCUACUAAUGUCAGAAAUCCUGCUACCCAACAGGAUGGUCUGCCAAGUGAUAGGGAACAUAGUCUGAUGGGACAGCUCCUGAAUCAAUGUCACAUAAGGAAACAACUUACUUGGAGGAGUUGAAGGAGUUGAGAUGAGUUGAUCACAUCCUCAUGUGUCUUUGCAUGUUGCAACAGGGGCAGUGUACUUUUUUUUAUAGCAAAACAUUCCUACUUUAGAUAGAAGAACUUAUGGGGCACAUCAGAUGUACUGACCACUCCUUAGUCCGAAGGACGGGAGUAACAAUUUUUCUCAAGUUCUGCUGUUGUAUUGUACUAGAAGUCUGUUCAUCAAACUGCCUUAUCAACCAUCUGCUAUUAACCCUCAAACAUCUAACAUUUUUUUUUUUGACAUC